AGGAUGCUGAGUUUUGAUUCAACAGGAACACCAUGUUCCCAGAUCUUUUCCUUCUUAAUCAUCAGUCUAAACUAAACACAUGGCUAGAGCAGUGGGAUCCCUACAGACUCCAUAUGUGCUUGGAUUCCAAGGAGAAAUCUGGCAUAAAUGAGGAGAACAAGGCAUGAGUGCAUGUGUUGGUCCUAUGAAGAUCAUACCCAACCUUAAGCCAAGAAGGUUAGACUAGUUUUAGGGUAGGGCUAAGCUGAGGAGUGAGGGAUGAAACACAGAGCUCCUUGAAAAUGCUCACUUGCUGGUUAUGGAGAAGGAAGGCAACUGAAAGAAAGGAAGAUAAGCUCCCAUCUCUUCCUUAUACUUGGAAGGUGGGGCACAGAAGAGCAAACUGAAGAACCACUGCUUUGAUCAGAGAAAGAAAACCACAUGGAAGCCCAAGCCUCACACGACAUCUGCCCUCCUCUCCAGCUGGGCAAACUCCCUUUGUGUUACAAGAAAAGCCAGUUAAAAAGUGUCUUCAAAGUUGAGCAAGAACUGACAAAACACACUGAGAGAAUAUGGGCAGAGAUGGCUGAUGACUGACUGUUUCUCUCUGUGGCAUUUAUUUAAACAGAGGACAAAUACAAUUUUUGCAGAAGCAAUGCAGAUACUGAUCUCACAGCUCCAGCAAUAUGACCCAGCAUCGUACUGACCUUGAAGGAAAGAGAUCUGUCCUGAAGAAUUUUGGUCAAAGGAGUUUAUGGUUACGAAUUGCAUUUCAGCAAAACCAUUAUUCAUUACAAUUUCUUGUUUUUAACUAAAUCUGCACAAAUAAUAUUAAAAAAAAAAAAAUCCACAUCCAAAGCUGCCAUUAAACUCCUGAGAAUUCUGCUCUUCCAUGAUUGCAACUGAAGUCUGCUCAUACUGCCAGAAAGGAAGAGUUACUGAAUUUCCAUGCUGAGUUUGCUGCUGCCAACAUGUUUGGUCAUGUAAACAAGUUCACUGAAAAGUCGCUCAUGCUAAAAAGAAAAACAGAUUCACAACGAGGGAUCUGCAGGCCAAAAAUGCUGGGUUUGGUCAGAUGGCCCAAAAAAUAGUAAAAACCAAAAAAUCCUCUCUGAGAGUCAUUCACUGGAGAUAUGCACUGUUCCUCUUUCUUCUGUCUGUGUAGAUAUUCCAGGAGAAUCAUCUGACCACCUGAGAGACUGACAGCUCCAUCCUCACAAGAGGAGGUUGCAAUGACACUCUUGCUUUUCUUUUUAAUUUCUGCUAAUUAACUCUAUGAUGCUUAUGUGAAGCAAGUCAGUAAUACCGAAGAAUGGUUUUAGAGAGAUUUAGUUAUUGUCUCUUCUGAGAUUCCCAGUUUCCAGGCUGUACCUAUCUUGCUUUAGACUGUGAAGGAUGUGCAGCAGGGAAUAUCUGUAUUCAGACUUUCCUGAAGCAUAACUUUCUUUUACUAAAGAAACACUGAAAGAACACAGUUCACAUUAGGCCUUUUCCCAAAUUCAGAGGAUCCCAACUUUUUUGGUGUAUAAACCAAGAGGAAGGUUUGGGGGGGGGAGGGAUAGACAGGAUAUUGUUUAAGAUGUGCAGAAUCUAAGCUUUCAUUUUAAAAAAAAAGGAGUUUGUAUAUAUAUAUAUGUGUGUCUGGUUUUUAGGAACCUCUUCCCUGUGUCCUGUUGGAGCUUAGGAAUUAGCCCAUAGUUACCAACUUCUAAAAUAUACUGUGAGAGGGAUAUGUGACCAUAUGUGGAUAUCAUAGGGAUAUCCACCUAUGCCAUGUGAGAGUUGAUAAGUUGUUAGUCACAGAAAAAAAGACCAGAACUCCCCCUUUCCUACAGAAGUAUUAAUAUCUUCUUUUUUAUAUCACUUAAAUUCAUUCUGUUCUUAAAAGCUUUAUUAUUUUUUAUUCUCUAGAGCACUUCAAUCACCUAGUGUUUAGUUACUUCAUAAUAUUUUAUUAUUUGAAGAUUUUGUACACAAACCAUUGAUUUGUCCCUCAACCGUAAUCUUAUGUGGUUUUAUUUUCAGCACUGUUCUGCGUAUUCUUCGCUUAUCCUUGAAACCUACAAUUUAGGUUUUGCACAUAAAUAAUGGAAAGGAUUGUGUUGGGCACUUGUGAGUGACUGGUACCUCAAAAUUUACACAGUCAGUGCCAUUUACUGACGAUAUUUAUUUAACCAAAACUGAUAGCUUUUGGUGUUCUGGUAAUAAACUCCGUGGUUCAGUUCCCUGUUGAGCUGCC
Molecule: long non-coding RNA, 2218 nt
Organism: Manacus vitellinus (golden-collared manakin)
Lineage: Eukaryota; Metazoa; Chordata; Aves; Passeriformes; Pipridae
Source: Ensembl